AUUUUACAGGUGAGGCACUAAGGCACAGAGAGUUAAGAACUGGCCCAGGGCCAUACAGCUAGUAAGUGGUAGAGCCAGGAUUCAAAGCCCAGCAGUCUGGCUUUAGAAUGAAAGCUCUUAAACGCCAUAUGAAAAUCUGUGGGUCUCUAGAAAAGACCCACAGCCCAGGACAAAGUUGUCAGCACAUAUAAACAAUAAAGGAAAAACAAAUGGGUCCGAAACUUAAAGGAGAGGAGAGAAAACUGCAGAAGGGUGGUGCAGACCUCCCCGUACCCCAGGCACCAGCGUUUUCAACGGCCUCACUGCCCCAGCUUGGGCAAGCCCAGCCCAUGCCACACCUCAUUGCACAAGGUGCAGACUCCUCCUUCAACACAAAAUGACCAAGCCACGCCUUCCAACACCUGCGUCUCUAGAGCCACCCGCUCCAGGAGGCACUGAGGGAAACGGAAACGGGCAGAAGGCCAUGCCUCCGCUUUCACGUGGAGACAGACACUGCCUCCCAGAUGCUGAAGAAGCCAAAGAAGAAUGGGAGCAGUAUUCCUUCUCCUAAGCCCACAGCCUCAAGCCCAUUGGUUCCUGAAUCUGUUGCUACUUGCAAGGCUAUUUACCAGUGACCCUCAGGGCGGCUCAGCCUUCACACUGCCCUACCCAACUCUCACUGAAAUCUUAGGUCCCCAAGGAAGAAGAGCACACCUCUAAGGGCUUGGAGGGGCUGAUUCUGGAUCUGAGGCAGUAAGGCCAUACUCCAUAGCCCUGGGAGCCAUUAAACCCCCAGGCUUCCUGGGACACUGACCCUGCAUUGCCUGUUUGGUCCCAGAAAAGUUCCUGACACAUUAUGGAAAUGUGGUGAAUAAAUGGUGACCGAAAGUCCCAGAAUUGA
This is a non-coding RNA of Vicugna pacos (alpaca), 880 nucleotides long. The record is from RefSeq and is a predicted model, not a curated record. Lineage: Eukaryota; Metazoa; Chordata; Mammalia; Artiodactyla; Camelidae.